CCUACGGGGCGCAGCAGUGAGGAAUAUUGGUCAAUGGUCGGGAGACUGAACCAGCCAAGCCGCGUGAGGGAUGAAGGUACAGAGUAUCGUAAACCUCUUUUGUCAGGGAACAAAGGCGGGGACGUGUCCCCGGAUGAGUGUACCUGAAGAAAAAGCAUCGGCUAACUCCGUGCCAGCAGCCGCGGUAAUACGGAGGAUGCGAGCGUUAUCCGGAUUUAUGGGGUUAAAAGGGUGGGCAGGCGGUCUGUUAAGUCAGCGGUCAAAGCCCGGGGCUCAACCCCGGCCCGCCGUUGAAACUGGCAGUCUCGAGUUGGAGAGAAGUAUGCGGAAUGCGCGGUGUAGCGGUGAAAUGCAUAGAUAUCGCGCAGAACUCCGAUUGCGAAGGCAGCAUGCCGGCUCCACACUGACGCUGAGGCACGAAAGCGUGGGUAUCGAACAGGAUUAGAUACCCUUGUAGUC
This 459-nucleotide ribosomal RNA is filed under the name uncultured bacterium. RNAcentral's name for it is "partial 16S ribosomal RNA". It matches the Rfam family "Bacterial small subunit ribosomal RNA", at positions 338 to 795 of the family's 1533-position model. The record is from RNAcentral.